RNAcentral lists this ribosomal RNA (253 nucleotides) under uncultured bacterium. RNAcentral describes it as "partial 16S ribosomal RNA". It matches the Rfam family "Bacterial small subunit ribosomal RNA", at positions 524 to 776 of the family's 1533-position model. The record is from RNAcentral.
UACGUAGGGGGCUAGCGUUGUCCGGAAUCAUUGGGCGUAAAGCGCGUGUAGGCGGUUCGGUAAGUCCGCUGUGAAAGUCGGGGGCUCAACCCUCGGAUGCCGGUGGAUACUGUCGGACUAGAGUACGGAAGAGGCGAGUGGAAUUCCUGGUGUAGCGGUGAAAUGCGCAGAUAUCAGGAGGAACACCGAUUGCGAAGGCAGCUCGCUGGGACGUUACUGACGCUGAGACGCGAAAGCCAGGGGAGCGAACGGG